UUUCUUUUUUGGAAACUAGAAGUUUUGUCUUGAAGUCAUAAUAAUUUCUUUGAAGACGGUGGACUGGACGACGAGAAAAUCAGAGGGUGACGGUGAUGUAACAAGACUAGAAGUCUGCCACCGUACGGCGUCUAACGCUAUGAAAAUUAUCUUGCAUGUAGGAAUUUUUAUUUUAUUUUAUUUUAGUUUCUUAGGAGCAGUGUUUAGUUUCUUGAUCUUUCCUGUUUUGACUUCCCUCCCAAUAACUCUAUAUUUCCAAGACAGAGUAAAU
This 271-nucleotide unclassified non-coding RNA is filed under the name Arabidopsis thaliana (thale cress). Lineage: Eukaryota; Viridiplantae; Streptophyta; Magnoliopsida; Brassicales; Brassicaceae. The record is from RNAcentral.